UCGAUUCCCUUAGUAGCGGCGAGCGAAACGGGAAGAGCCCAAACCAACAAGCUUGCUUGUUGGGGUUGUAGGACACUCUAUACGGAGUUACAAAGGACGACAUUAGACGAAUCAUCUGGAAAGAUGAAUCAAAGAAGGUAAUAAUCCUGUAGUCGAAAAUGUUGUCUCUCUUGAGUGGAUCCUGAGUACGACGGAGCACGUGAAAUUCCGUCGGAAUCUGGGAGGACCAUCUCCUAAGGCUAAAUACUCUCUAGUGACCGAUAGUGAACCAGUACCGUGAGGGAAAGGUGAAAAGCACCCCGGAAGGGGAGUGAAAUAGAACCUGAAACCGUGUGCUUACAAGUAGUCAGAGCCCGUUAAUGGGUGAUGGCGUGCCUUUUGUAGAAUGAACCGGCGAGUUACGAUUUGAUGCAAGGUUAAGCAGUAAAU
This 429-nucleotide ribosomal RNA is filed under the name Staphylococcus aureus. Its description in RNAcentral is "partial 23S ribosomal RNA". It matches the Rfam family "Bacterial large subunit ribosomal RNA", at positions 231 to 658 of the family's 2925-position model. The record is from RNAcentral. Lineage: Bacteria; Bacillati; Bacillota; Bacilli; Caryophanales; Staphylococcaceae.